RNAcentral lists this ribosomal RNA (544 nucleotides) under Xenograpsus testudinatus. RNAcentral describes it as "partial large subunit ribosomal RNA". It matches the Rfam family "Bacterial large subunit ribosomal RNA", at positions 1831 to 2625 of the family's 2925-position model. The record is from RNAcentral. Lineage: Eukaryota; Metazoa; Arthropoda; Malacostraca; Decapoda; Xenograpsidae.
CUCUAUUUGAAGGUAUAAAGAGUAUAACCUGCUCACUGAUAAAAGUUUAAGAGCCGCAGUAUUUUGACUGUGCAAAGGUAGCAUAAUCGUUUGUUUUUUAAUUGGAAUCUUGUAUGAAUGGUUGGACAAGAGAAAAACUGUCUUUAUAAGAAAAAUUGAAUUUAACUUUUAGAUGAAAAGGUCUAAAUAAAUUAAAGGGACGAUAAGACCCUAUAAAGCUUAAUAUAAAAAGUUAGUUAAUUAAAUUUUAUUAAAAUAAAAAUGAAUUAAUUUAAUAUAUUUUGUUGGGGCGACAGAGGUAAAAUUAUUAUUAACUACUUAAAUAAGAUUCAAAUAUAAGUGUAAUUUUAAAAGAUCCUAGUUAAAGAUUUAAAGUUUAAGUUACUUUAGGGAUAACAGCGUUAUUUUUUUUGAGAGUACUUAUCGAGAAAAAAGUUUGCGACCUCGAUGUUGAAUUAAAAUAUCUUUAUAAUUGCAGAAGUUAUAAAAGAAGGUCUGUUCGACCUUUAAAUUUUUACAUGAUUUGAGUUCAGACCGGCGUGAG